CUCUGACCCCUCCAGCGUCUUCUCAGGGUCACUCUUUUUUUCUUUUUGGACUUGCACUGAAACCACCCACAGGAGAUGGGGAGGGAGAGAGGCGGGCAGUUACGAGGACAGAGUCGGCCCCUGAGCCCAGAUGGGAAGGAGCCCAGAGAGCGCCGGCACUGUCUGUGGGGAUGCACACCUCCCGUCCUCCUGCCUGACAUCCCCUGCCUUUCUCCUUCGGCAGCAGAAACACUGGCCGGGGAGGUUGCUCCCUCUGGCCUCGAUGCCAGGAAGAGGCCACAGAUGCUCAGCACGGUCGGGGACACCUAAGCCUGUCACUCUCUUUCGUGUUCCUCUCUUUGGGAGCGCUGGACCCUCUCUUCACAGCGGUGCACUUAUGAGAAAUAUCUGCACUGGACUCCAAGGUGCUUGGGAUCCGCCCAGCAGGAACCCAGCCACAGCCCCAGACCACGACAGCCAGGCAUCCUGCCAGCCAUUGGCUCAGCACCCUCUGCAGCACCAGUCACACCACCAAGGCCGCUGGCUGGCAUCCACAGGACCCUCUCAGAGCGUGUGGACCCUGCUCUCCCCUCCGUCCUGCUGUCCACCUGGAGCUGCUGGAUGCGGAGCCCACGCUGCCCAGAUGGGCAUCCUUGUCAUGGUCACCACUCUGAGUUCAUGGAGGAGGAGAGGACAAAGGAAUCUGACUUCACCCCCCGUGCAGUCUCAGGGAGGGAGGACUUCUUUCCACCUUACUCUCAAGGAAGGUAAAUAAAUCGAAGCAGAGUGGUGCUAAUGCCUACGUGUGAACACACAGGGAUUCCUCCAGUUCCUGAAAGGAACAAGACAUUGCACACCACCCUGUUUUGUUGGUCUGUUUCCCAUUUUCCUUAAACCAACAUCUACUCAUUCUGAACUAACUGACUGACUGAAGGGGAAAGAGGUGUUUUGCCCAAGCCUGAGGGCUUGCAAGGAGGGAGGAGGUUCUGUCUGCCGGGGGUCUGCAUGCAGAAAGGCGGGAAGAGCAGAGGAAUGACUGCACUCUGAAGAUGUCUGGAGGAUUCUCCCACUCCCCGAGAAUCAUUGCCUGCUUUUGUUAAAUAACAACACUUUACUUUGUUUGUUCACUUAUUUGCUUUGGUGCUGGGGAAGGAAGCCACAGCCUCACAGUGCUCUCUGCUACUGAGCUGCACCCCAGUCCCAGCUUUUCACCCAGUCCCAGUUUCUG
This 1207-nucleotide long non-coding RNA is filed under the name Chinchilla lanigera (long-tailed chinchilla). RNAcentral's name for it is "lncRNA (ENSCLAG00000027848.1)". Lineage: Eukaryota; Metazoa; Chordata; Mammalia; Rodentia; Chinchillidae. The record is from RNAcentral.